This 103-nucleotide small nuclear RNA is filed under the name Nannospalax galili (Upper Galilee mountains blind mole rat). The record is from RNAcentral. Lineage: Eukaryota; Metazoa; Chordata; Mammalia; Rodentia; Spalacidae.
GUGCUUGAUUUGGCACACACAUACUAAAAUUAGAAUGAUACAGAGAUUAGCACGGCCCUUGCGUAAGGAUGACAUGCAAAUUCAUGAAGUAUUCCAUAUUUUC